UACGUAGGGGGCGAGCGUUGUCCGGAAUGAUUGGGCGUAAAGGGCGUGUAGGCGGUCUGGAAAGUCUGGAGUGAAAGUCCCGUUUUCAAGAUGGGAAUUGCUCUGGAAACUUUUAGACUUGAGUGCAGGAGAGGUUAUCGGAAUUCCCGGUGUAGCGGUGAAAUGCGUAGAGAUCGGGAGGAACACCAGUGGCGAAGGCGGGUAACUGGACUGCAACUGACGCUGAGGCGCGAAAGUGUGGGGAGCAAAC
RNAcentral lists this ribosomal RNA (250 nucleotides) under uncultured prokaryote. RNAcentral describes it as "partial 16S ribosomal RNA". It matches the Rfam family "Bacterial small subunit ribosomal RNA", at positions 524 to 773 of the family's 1533-position model. The record is from RNAcentral.